UAUAAUGGGUCAGCGACUUAUAUUCUGUAGCAAGGUUAACCGAAUAGGGGAGCCGCAGGGAAACCGAGUCUUAACUGGGCGAAUUAGUUGCAGGGUAUAGACCCGAAACCCGGUGAUCUAGCCAUGGGCAGGUUGAAGGUUGGGUAACACUAACUGGAGGACCGAACCGACUAAUGUUGAAAAAUUAGCGGAUGACUUGUGGCUGGGGGUGAAAGGCCAAUCAAACCGGGAGAUAGCUGGUUCUCCCCGAAAGCU
RNAcentral lists this ribosomal RNA (255 nucleotides) under Morganella morganii. RNAcentral describes it as "partial 23S ribosomal RNA". It matches the Rfam family "Bacterial large subunit ribosomal RNA", at positions 611 to 867 of the family's 2925-position model. Lineage: Bacteria; Pseudomonadati; Pseudomonadota; Gammaproteobacteria; Enterobacterales; Morganellaceae. The record is from RNAcentral. RNAcentral also lists the same sequence under 1 other name.